GCCAGAUGUAGUGGCAGGCAUCUGUAAUCCCAGCUACCUGGGAGGCUGAGGCAGGAGGAUUGCUUAAGCCCAGGAGUUUCAGGUUGCUGUGCGAUAGACUGAGGCCACAGCACUCUAGCCUGGGCACCAGAGUAAGAUUCUGUCUCAA
This 148-nucleotide non-coding RNA is filed under the name Otolemur garnettii (small-eared galago). The record is from Rfam by way of RNAcentral. Lineage: Eukaryota; Metazoa; Chordata; Mammalia; Primates; Galagidae.